UACAGGGGGUGCAAGCGUUACUCGGAAUUACUGGGCGUAAAGAGCGCGUAGGCUGCUUAGUAAGUUUGGUGUGAAAGCCCUGGACUCAAUCCAGGAAGUGCAUUGAAUACUGCUAAGCUAGAGUAUUGGAGAGGUGAGCGGAAUUCCUGGUGUAGAGGUGAAAUUCGUAGAUAUCAGGAGGAACAACAGAGGCGAAGGCGGCUCACUGGACAAUUACUGACGCUGAGGCGCGAAAGUGUGGGGAGCAAACAGG
RNAcentral lists this ribosomal RNA (253 nucleotides) under uncultured prokaryote. RNAcentral's name for it is "partial 16S ribosomal RNA". It matches the Rfam family "Bacterial small subunit ribosomal RNA", at positions 524 to 776 of the family's 1533-position model. The record is from RNAcentral.